RNAcentral lists this unclassified non-coding RNA (384 nucleotides) under Hevea brasiliensis (rubber tree). The record is from RNAcentral. Lineage: Eukaryota; Viridiplantae; Streptophyta; Magnoliopsida; Malpighiales; Euphorbiaceae.
UCCCAAGAAGUGAACAAAAGGACGAUUCUACACAGGCAUUGUGACAUAAGGAGAUAAAUGCCACUCCAGUCAACAAAGAAGAACUGAAUCUGAUCCCUAAGCAUUUUCAGCAGGUAUCUGACCCAUAACACAAAAGUUGCUAGCGUGCUUGGGCCUCCACUUAGUUCUUCCCCUCACUAUCUCAGCACUAUCCUCUAGUCGAAGCAAAUGCUGGCACUCAAUCUCACCAGCAUUUGCUAAAUUUCCUAUCCCACUGCCAGAGACAGCAGUCAGAGACUGCAACACACUGUCCCUUCCACACUCCCUCCUAUACUCCAGAGUGAUGGCAGACAGUUCAUGACUCUCCAGGAUCGGCAGCGGAGCACUCUCAAGGAUCCAGCCAAU